GGUGCAUAUAUAUAUUCAGUUAAAUGACUAAAAUGGAUCUUCAUCUUGUUAUUCUUCUUCAUCUUAACAAUUCUUAUCUUCAGGAGAACAUGGAUCUCUCAAACCUCAACUACACUCCACGUGCAGAAGAUGGGGAUGAAAUGGAUGAAGAUGCAUGAAACGAAAUGGAAGGAGAUAUAGGAGAUGAAAUGGAAGGAGAUGAAAUAGUGGAAGAUGCAGGUGUUGAGCAAGUUGCUAAAAGAUACAAAACCCUCAAUGACCAGAAAUAUUUGCUACUUAUGUAGCAUUGCAUACACUGUGUAUGUGCACUUGAGGAAUUUUUAAGAGAACUGAUACACAAGUCAUUGCAAUUUUUGUAGUAGUUGUGUGGAAUAUAAAAAGAAUUUGGAGGA
Molecule: long non-coding RNA, 392 nt
Organism: Hordeum vulgare subsp. vulgare (domesticated barley)
Lineage: Eukaryota; Viridiplantae; Streptophyta; Magnoliopsida; Poales; Poaceae
Exons: 2
Source: RefSeq, a predicted model, not a curated record